AAAAAGGGAGUAUAGUGGCUAUGCAGUUAGUUUGAAGCUAAAUAAAGGAGGUUCGAUUCCUUCACUUUUUA
This 71-nucleotide transfer RNA is filed under the name Aeluroscalabotes felinus. Its description in RNAcentral is "tRNA-Ser". It matches the Rfam family "tRNA". From Rfam's summary of the family: Transfer RNA (tRNA) molecules are approximately 80 nucleotides in length. Their secondary structure includes four short double-helical elements and three loops (D, anti-codon, and T loops). The record is from RNAcentral. Lineage: Eukaryota; Metazoa; Chordata; Lepidosauria; Squamata; Eublepharidae.